This 263-nucleotide ribosomal RNA is filed under the name uncultured soil bacterium. RNAcentral's name for it is "partial 16S ribosomal RNA". It matches the Rfam family "Bacterial small subunit ribosomal RNA", at positions 26 to 287 of the family's 1533-position model. The record is from RNAcentral.
AGGACGAACGCUGGCGGCGCGCUUAACACAUGCAAGUCGAACGGGUGUCCUUCGGGGCACCAGUGGCGGACGGGUGCGUAACACGUAAGCGACCUGCCUUCAGGUGGGGGAUAACCCCGGGAAACCGGGGCUAAUACCGCAUGAGCUCCUUGAGCCGCAUGGCUGGGGGGAGGAAAGCUCCGUCACAGGAGCGCUUGAAGAGGGGCUCGCGGCCUAUCAGCUUGUUGGCGGGGUAAUGGCCCACCAAGGCGACGACGGGUAGC